CUGAGGACUAGAGAUAAUGGUGCGAUAACUUCGUUACUGUUAUUUCUGCCUAAAAAGACAGUGCUAGGCAUUGGUGCUCUUAAUUGAGUGCUUUUGCUGCCUGUCAAGUUUACUUUGAAAAAAUUAGAGUGCUCAAAGCAGGCGCUUUGCCUGAAUAGUGGUGCAUGGAAUAAUGGAAUAAGAUCUUCGGAUCUAUUUUGUUGGUUUUCGGAAGCCGAGGUAAUGAUUAAGAGAGACAGACGGGGGCAUUCGUAUUGUGGUGUUAGAGGUGAAAUUC
This is a ribosomal RNA of 277 nucleotides. The stretch from base 30 to 277 matches the Rfam family "Eukaryotic small subunit ribosomal RNA", at positions 672 to 919 of the family's 1831-position model.